AGAAUCAAAUGUAAAGCCUUUCAGCUUUUGAGGUUUAGUUUUCAUGAUGUGCUGCCACCAACUGUCAUAAAAUUAACAUGAUAAUCAAGUUUGUAAAUUUAAGUUUAGUUAGAAAAUGAAAAAUAAAUUAUACUAGUAAACUAAAUACGCCUUAACAUAAUAUUGUAACUUUUCUUUCUACUGUAAAUAUGCAAGCACGCAUGUGGGUGAAGUUUUUACUGUAAAAAUACAAAUAACAUUAUCAUAAUUUUUCUAUAGCAUGUCACCUUGUAGGGUUUAACCACUUGCAUGCACAAUCUGAUGCUUUUGUAAUCCAUUGAAAUAAUCUAAAAUUUCUGUGUGUGGCCUAUGCCAUUUUUUUGGGGUUUCAUUAGCUGAACUAUCUUAUACUUUGUAAUUCAUAUAAAACUCUGGAGCCUGUUUAUUUUAUUUGUCAUUUUGAUGGGUUUAUGUAAGCACACCGUGGUUCGAUGGUUAUAAGUAUUUUGAUGAAUCUAAGAGUAGUAACAAAGUGAGGAAAAUAUGGUCUAUGUUGUUUGUUGUGAGCAUUAUCAUAAUUUUCUUUUUUUUCUAAAAUCACAAGUUGACUAUUAGGGUAUUUCCUCUUCUGUUGCAGGCUUCGCACCUAGAUUCUAUUUUCUUUUUGUCCACCUAUGCCAUUGAAACUUAACCUUAUUUUGUAUAAAUAUUACACAGCUAGGAGUUAUGUAAUUAAUUGAUCUUUCUCUAUAAAUUUGGUUUUUGUUCUUUUCAAUAGUUAAUUUCCAUUUUUCUUCCUAGGAUUCUUUUGGUGAGAAAAGUACUCUACUCUUGAAACGAGUGAAGAUGCUAAUAGGUUGAAUUAUGGGGAAAUAAUUUAUAUAGAAGAAAAUGACAUGAAUUGUGUUAAAGUCAUCUCUGUUCUGUUUACCUUUCUUGUGGAGCCAUGCUUCUAGUGCUAUAUGCCGUCCAAUUAUUCAAUGCAAGUACCAAGAGACAAGUUGAUGCAUGGUUUCCCUUUUAUGCAGGCACGGGAAUGGCUGAAUUAUUGAAGUGAUGUGCUCCCUGAGAAUGAAGAUAGUACCCAAUGCAUGAGAUUCCCUUUCUGUGCAGGCAUUGACACAACAAAAUAGUGGAAGAGAUGUCGCUAGCAUCACACAACAAAGGACUAUCAAUUCAGGCUAUGGUCAGGCUGGCAGAUCUUCUCGUUACGAAUUUUUUUUGUCCUUGUGUUGUAUGUGUUAAGAUUCUGUAGCAUGGUUUAACUGUCACUUGUCUUCCUGUACUAUAUAUAGCUGUGAGCACUUAAUUGCCACUUUUUUCAGGUUUGUUCA
Molecule: long non-coding RNA, 1313 nt
Organism: Panicum virgatum (switchgrass)
Lineage: Eukaryota; Viridiplantae; Streptophyta; Magnoliopsida; Poales; Poaceae
Exons: 2
Source: RefSeq, a predicted model, not a curated record